This 253-nucleotide ribosomal RNA is filed under the name uncultured bacterium. Its description in RNAcentral is "partial 16S ribosomal RNA". It matches the Rfam family "Bacterial small subunit ribosomal RNA", at positions 524 to 776 of the family's 1533-position model. The record is from RNAcentral.
UACGUAGGGGGCAAGCGUUGUCCGGAAUCAUUGGGCGUAAAGCGCGUGUAGGCGGUUCGAUAAGUCUGCUGUGAAAGUCCAGGGCUCAACCCUGGGAUGCCGGUGGAUACUGUCGGACUAGAGUACGGAAGAGGCGAGUGGAAUUCCCGGUGUAGCGGUGAAAUGCGCAGAUAUCGGGAGGAACACCAAGUGCGAAGGCAGCUCGCUGGGACGUUACUGACGCUGAGACGCGAAAGCGUGGGGAGCAAACAGG